GGGCCGUUAGCUCAGUUGGUAGAGCAGCUGACUCUUAAUCAGCGGGUCGCAGGUUCGAUCCCUGCACGGCCCACCA
This 76-nucleotide transfer RNA is filed under the name bacterium. Its description in RNAcentral is "tRNA-Lys". It matches the Rfam family "tRNA". From Rfam's summary of the family: Transfer RNA (tRNA) molecules are approximately 80 nucleotides in length. Their secondary structure includes four short double-helical elements and three loops (D, anti-codon, and T loops). Further hydrogen bonds mediate the characteristic L-shaped molecular structure. tRNAs have two regions of fundamental functional importance: the anti-codon, which is responsible for specific mRNA codon recognition, and the 3' end, to which the tRNAs corresponding amino acid is attached (by aminoacyl-tRNA synthetases). tRNAs cope with the degeneracy of the genetic code in two manners: having more than one tRNA (with a specific anti-codon) for a particular amino acid; and 'wobble' base-pairing, i.e. permitting non-standard base-pairing at the 3rd anti-codon position. The record is from RNAcentral. RNAcentral also lists the same sequence under 12 other names.